This 1019-nucleotide ribosomal RNA is filed under the name uncultured bacterium. Its description in RNAcentral is "bacterial SSU rRNA". It matches the Rfam family "Bacterial small subunit ribosomal RNA", at positions 83 to 1113 of the family's 1533-position model. The record is from RNAcentral.
UUGCCGAACUCAGCGGCGGACGGCUGUGUAACACGUGAGCAACCUGCCUUAAAGACCGGGAUAACACAACGAAAGAUGUGCUAAUACCGGAUAGUAGUAUCUUUCGCAUGAGAGGUACUGGAAAGGGGGGACCCACUUUAAGAGGGGCUCGCGGCCCAUUAGCUAGUUGGUGAGGUAAAGGCCCACCAAGGCGACGAUGGGUAGCCGGCCUGAGAGGGUGGACGGCCACACUGGGACUGAGACACGGCCCAGACUCCUACGGGAGGCAGCAGUGGGGAAUAUUGCGCAAUGGGGGGAACCCUGACGCAGCGACGCCGCGUGAGCGAAGAAGGCCUUCGGGUCGUAAAGCUCUGAUCUAUGGGAAGAAGACGGUACCAUAGGAGAAAGCCCCGGCUAACUACGUGCCAGCAGCCGCGGUAAUACGUAGGGGGCAAGCGUUGUCCGGAGUGACUGGGCGUAAAGGGCGCGUAGGCGGCUAAAAAAGUCAGGUGUAAAAGGCACCGGCUCAACCGGUGAUAAGCAGCUGAAACUAGGUAGCUAGAGUACAGGAGAGGAGAUCGGAAUUCCUGGUGUAGCGGUGAAAUGCGUAGAUAUCAGGAAGAACACCAGUGGCGAAGGCGGAUCUCUGGACUGGGACUGACGCUGAGGCGCGAAAGCGUGGGUAGCAAACAGGAUUAGAUACCCUGGUAGUCCACGCCGUAAACGAUGGAUACUAGGUGUAGGCGAGAAAGCGUCUGUGCCGGAGUCAACGCAAUAAGUAUCCCGCCUGGGGGAGUACGGCCGCAAGGCUGAAACUCAAAGGAAUUGACGGGGGCCCGCACAAGCAGCGGAGCAUGGUGGUUUAAUUCGAAGCAACGCGAAGAACCUUACCAGGGCUUGACAUCUACAGAAUCCUUUAGAAAAUAAAGGAGUGCCCGAAAGGGAGCUGUGAAACAAGGUGGUGGCAUGGGUUGUCGUCAGCUCGUGUCGUGAGAAUGUUUGGGGUUAAGUCCCCGCAACGAGCGCAACCCUAAUCACUA